Molecule: long non-coding RNA, 531 nt
Filed under: Musa acuminata (dwarf banana)
Lineage: Eukaryota; Viridiplantae; Streptophyta; Magnoliopsida; Zingiberales; Musaceae
Description: long non-coding RNA (MACU_LNC000326)
Source: RNAcentral
UGUUUUGUGUCUGAGUGAGUUCCUCUCCUCCUCCCCUUUUCUCUUUAGAGUUUUGGGGGUAUUUAUAGAUGAAGUUUGAUGUUACCUGACGCGGUUGUCUGCAGGGUAGGAUUGUACCUUUGGUGGCGUGGGAGGCCGAGCUGCUGCAGGGUAUGGCGUGCCUCGGGCAGCGUGUCGCUCAGGGGGUUGCUGUCAUGGCGUGUCACAUCGCCAUUUUUACCCCUAUCAGUACACACUCAGAGGCUCUUCUUCUGCCUCAUCCACAAUCCCCUCCACAUCUUUCUCUAAUUUGAUCGUCGGAGGGGUCGGGCCGAGCUCCCGGCCCGACCUGUGUGCAGGUGCGAGACGGUGUCGCCUCUUCCUGAAGCUGCGGCAGAGCUGCCUCCCGACCCGAACCGCCGACCCGAAUUGCCGAACCGACCUCCCGACCCGAACCACCGAGCUCGGCCGCUGGGAGACCCCGAGGGACGCCGCCCGAGAUCCCCGACAUCCGGACCCCCGAACCAAGCCGCGACGGCCCCGAGGCCACGG